Long non-coding RNA from Lathyrus oleraceus (garden pea), 329 nucleotides. RefSeq lists it as uncharacterized. Lineage: Eukaryota; Viridiplantae; Streptophyta; Magnoliopsida; Fabales; Fabaceae. The record is from RefSeq and is a predicted model, not a curated record. The transcript has 2 exons.
AAAAUCUGAAAAAUGAAGACUACAAGGAAUUUUGCAGUUACAAUGUUAUUUUUAUUGGCUUUUUUCAUCUUGACAACAGAUUUUUGCUCGGCAGCAGGAGGAAAGUAUUCGUGUAAAACAGAUCACCAUUGUCAGCAGUUCUGUGGUAAAGAGAAAGGACGAUGUCUUGGUGGGCAGUGUUGGUGUUUCUCUCCACCAUCUUCCACUAGCAACAUACUACCCCCAAUUUUAAAUUAAGUUAAAUUUUGGGAUGUAAUAAUUAUAUAUGAAUAAAAUCAUAAUAUUAAAUUAAAAAUAUUAAUAAAAUUAAAUAUUUUAUUUUAUUUAAA